UCUGCAGGGAGCGCGUGUGGGCAGUGGAGCGCGUGAGGGUGGGUGAGGAUUAGUUUCGAUUUUUUUUUUCUCUGUGUGAGCGCUGAGCGGUGGGGGUAUAUAUAGAGAUAGAGAGAUGAUAUAUAAGUGAUUUUGUCUAUAAUUUAUUUUUUUAUUCGCUAUUUGGGAGGGAGCAUGCAUCGAGGUAGAUGGAAGGGUAAAAAUAUAUAUUUUUUGCAACCUAUAUUAGCUGUUGUUAGCUUGGUUAGGAUGGUUAAUGAGACAUAUUUCUUAGCUAGGUGCCAAGCUAAUAAUUACCUAUUGACAGGAUGGGGGUUUGGAACCACCAUAGAUAUUUUUUUAGCAACCAACUCUUAGUUGGAUCUAAAUGAUAUCUUAUUAAUUGUUCACAGCUAAUAUUGGGUGGCUAAUUAUUAGUUGACAGUUCUCUGGAUCCACCAGCUAAUAUAAAAUAUGGAUGCAUAUGUGAUUUUGUCUAUAAUAUCCUUUCAUUUUUAUUUACUACUAUGAGGGACACAUUCUACUAAAGGUAGGUGGGGCUGGUGGGGAAGGGGGUAAAAUUGACUUUUCACAUUCUAUGAGCUAGAUUGGGAGAGAGCAAGAUAGUUCUUAGCUAGCUGUUUAGCUAACAAUUAGCUAGUAUUGGUUGGCUAAUUAUUAGUUGACAGUUGUCUGGAUCCACCAGCUAAUAUAAAAUAUGGAUGCAUAUGUGAUUUUGUCCAUAAUAUCCUUUCAUUUUUAUUUACUACUAUGAGGGACAUGUUUUACUAAAGGUAGGUGGGGAGGGUCUGAGGGUAAAAUUGACUUUUCACAUUCUAUGAGCUAGAUUGGGAGAGUGCAAGGUAGUUCUUAGCUAGCUGUUUAGCUAACAAUUAUCUAGUAUUGGCUGGCUAAUUAUUAGUUGACAGUUGUCUGGAUCCACUAGCUAAUAUAAAAUAUGGAUGCAUAUGUGAUUUUGUCUAUAAUAUCCUUUCAAUUUUAUUUACUACUAUGAGGGA
This 998-nucleotide long non-coding RNA is filed under the name Sorghum bicolor (sorghum). RNAcentral describes it as "long non-coding RNA (SBIC_LNC005601)". The record is from RNAcentral. Lineage: Eukaryota; Viridiplantae; Streptophyta; Magnoliopsida; Poales; Poaceae.